RNAcentral lists this ribosomal RNA (653 nucleotides) under uncultured Actinomycetes bacterium. Its description in RNAcentral is "SSU rRNA". It matches the Rfam family "Bacterial small subunit ribosomal RNA", at positions 246 to 915 of the family's 1533-position model. The record is from RNAcentral. Lineage: Bacteria; Bacillati; Actinomycetota; Actinomycetes.
UAGUUGGUGAGGUAAUGGCUCACCAAGCCGACGAUCGAUAGCUGGUCUGAGAGGAUGAUCAGCCACACUGGGACUGAGAUACGGCCCAGACUCCUACGGGAGGCAGCAGUGGGGAAUAUUGGACAAUGGGGGCAACCCUGAUCCAGCAAUGCCGCGUGAGUGAUGAAGGCCUUCGGGUUGUAAAGCUCUUUUGCCAGGGACGAUGAUGACGGUACCUGGAGAAUAAGCCCCGGCUAACUUCGUGCCAGCAGCCGCGGUAAUACGAAGGGGGCAAGCGUUGUUCGGAAUUACUGGGCGUAAAGGGCUUGUAGGUGGUUUGUCGCGUUGUUCGUGAAAUGCCACAGCUUAACUGUGGGCGUGCGGGCGAUACGGGCAGACUGGAGUACUGCAGGGGAGACUGGAAUUCCUGGUGUAGCGGUGGAAUGCGCAGAUAUCAGGAGGAACACCGGUGGCGAAGGCGGGUCUCUGGGCAGUAACUGACGCUGAGGAGCGAAAGCGUGGGGAGCGAACAGGAUUAGAUACCCUGGUAGUCCACGCCGUAAACGGUGGGUACUAGGUGUGGGUUCCUUCCUUGGGAUCCGUGCCGUAGCUAACGCAUUAAGUACCCCGCCUGGGGAGUACGGCCGCAAGGCUAAAACUCAAAGGAAUUGACG